RNAcentral lists this long non-coding RNA (4780 nucleotides) under Nicotiana tabacum (common tobacco). RNAcentral's name for it is "long non-coding RNA (NTAB_LNC008890)". The record is from RNAcentral. Lineage: Eukaryota; Viridiplantae; Streptophyta; Magnoliopsida; Solanales; Solanaceae.
AGACCCCCUCCCCCUUACCGAGCUAUCUUCUUCUUCAUUCUAAGGAAAUGAACAGACUCUCUCUCUCCGGGCGGAGCACGAACGGCUCCUUUUCUCAUUUUCUUGAAGAUAACACACACAAGAGCACUCUAAUCCCAACUAUUUCCAGAUCUCAAACAUCCAGCUUCCAUUGCCGGCGAGCUUCGUUGGGAACCGGCGGAAACUUAGCCGAAAAUCCCCCUAAAACCAGCUCCAAAAUCAUCCUUUUCUCAUCUCAAAAUCGAACUGAAAAUCAGUCGAACAACAGACAUCGACACCUCGAUUUUUUCUCCUUUGUACCAGCUGAAACUCACAUGAAAAGGUCAUUGUUUGUUUAGCUCUGAAAUCUUGCAUUGAAGUUGUGCUCGAAGUCGAGCUUCGCCGAAAAACGGUUAGCUCGUCAUCUUUCAAUCGAGUCUGUCAAUUCUAACUGAGGUUCUAGCCGAUUUCGUUGCUGCUCGUAGAGGUUAUCCGAUCGAAAAUUCUGUUCGUCGACUUUGUUGUUCUUUCUCGUUUGAUUUCGGAAUCAAGGGUUGUGUAUUUGCUGUUUCUUUCCAUUGUUAUACUGAAGAAAAUUCUCCUAACAGGUUCACUUUGUUCCUCCCCUCCUCAUUUAGGCUUGUUUAGAUGCAAUCUUUCUCCGUUACUUGCGUUCUAUCUUACUUCUGUGUUUACAUAGUAGUGAUUUGAAUCUGCUUGAUUUAAUCAUUUCGGAUUGUAACUCGAUUUGAUUCCGUGAUCGCUAAAUUGGCAUUUGAAUUGGUUGUGUUUCUUCGCCGAGGAUGAUUUGAAAUUGAACUCUAUAUUUUCCUACAUGGCAUUUCGGUUAUUUUAUUGCAAAUUGGAACUUUUUUUUUGCCAACUUAAAGAUUUGAGAACUCACUAUCAAAGAGUUAUAUUUGGAUUGUUCUUUAUACUUGUUGACAUUUCAUAUGUAAUGUUAGAGAUUACCUUUUUUUUUAAAAACAAACCACAUAUACUAAUUAAUUGACCGCAAUAGAAGCAUUGUUCUUCGGUGCUCAUGACAGUCCUUAAAAUCGCUGUUGCAAUGUUUGUCCUGUUCAAGUGAAUUGUAAAUGGAAUUGUGUUCAUUUGUUUGAUAUGUGUUUUCUGAGAAUUCGUUUUGAAUGAAUGUCUUGUGAGGCCUUGGGAUUUGGAUUCAUUAAUUUUCAAGAAUUAGAGUUAGAUGGACAUAGUGAUUUAGAUGAGAUCAGUGAUGCGUUAAAUGAUUUCUUUUGCUCAGUUCAACAAGAGCUGUAGUAAUCUGAUCCUUGUAAAUAAAUGUAACUAGCCCAUUUUGCUCAUUUAGUUCAUGAUAAAUGAUUACUGAACAUGUUCCAAAAUCAUUAGUAUGCCUUUAUGCACAUUCUCGCAACAAAUAUAUCGUGAUUGUGUAUACGUUUGCAUAAAAUAAUUACGAUUUCAAAAUAAAUUGGAGUAUGCGUUCACUCAACUUCGAACAAAUUUUCUUAAUAAUAAAAUUGUUUUAAUAGGCCACUAAUUAAAUUUAGUUCAUAUAGCCGAGGUGUGCCAUCCACCAUUUAAUCAUACAUGGCCCUCGUAUAAAUUCCACACCCUAGAUAUAAAAAUGAAUCUCGUAGUUUGCUUUAAGCAUGUAAUUAAGUUAUUACAACUACAAGUACGGUUCCCGUGACGUGGUUAUGACACUUAGUUUCUUUAAAUAAUUAGGUAUAAGUAGGAGUAUUUUUUAUUUGCCUUAGCGAAAUACAAAUCUUUUCUUUUAAAUAAAUUGAGGAGCGCCAUACGCAAACAAAAUCCAUAAUCUAUGGCCCCCAUAUUGAUCAUCUUAACUAGUGUAGAAAAUGCCUUGAACUUUCGUAGUUUACUUUAGGCGCGUUAAUUAUAUAAAUUGUCAUAGCUACAGGUACGGUUCCCAUGACGUAGUUGUGAUACUUAAUUUCUAAAAUUCGGGGGUACAUUUAUGUGACCCGAACACAAUUUAAUUUUGUUAAUUAAAAUAAACAUGUUGUAGAUCGUAGGUACGGUUCCCGUGACAUGAUCCGCAAUAUGUAACACUAAUUUAUUAAAAGAGGUCUAAAAAAAAUAAAAUGCACACAUGUUUAAAAUGUUUUAAAAUCAAAUAAAUAGGCCAAUAAUAAUAGUUGAGCAACCGUGCUAAAACCACGAAACUCGGGAAUGCCUAACACCUUCUCCCGGGUUAACAGAAUUAUUUACUCUGAUUUCUAUGUUCGCGGACUGUGAAACAGAGUCAAUCUUUACUCGAUUAGGAAUUUUAACCGGUGACUUGGAACACCAUAAAUUAUCCCAAGUGGCGACUCUGAAUCUUAAAUAAGUAAUCUCGUUUCGAUUGUCACUUAAAUUGGAAAAAACACCCUUGUACCCUUCCGGGGGUAGGAAAAAAGAGGUGUGAUAGCUCUGGCGACUCUGCUGGGGAAAAGAACCCAAAACUUCUGGAUCAGGGUUCAGAAUUCGAGCUUAGAAUAACUGUUAUAGUUUUACAACCCAUAUCCACACGCGUUAGUUCAUGCCAUAUAUUAGUUAACAUAUAUUCAAAAAGGAAUUACCUUUGAGAUGAUAAGAAGUUAAUCCUAUUGGUCUUAAGUGAUACAAGGGUGUAUAAGGGUGAUUAACAAGUAUUAGAAGUUAAACGAAUCAAGGAUGUGGUAACUUGUAUUUUCAGGUAAACCUAGAGGUUUUUAAUACACUCAAGGUCAUGUAUUAAGGCGUUUGAAUCAUAUAAUAUCCGUAUCAUAAGUCUUGAGAUCAAACGAGUUAUGAAACAAAAGUCGACAAACGUUGUCGCAACUUAGGUUCAUAAUUUUACUUAAACAUUAGGUUAAAUAUUUCUAAGCUUUUCUCCUAAUUUACAAGGAAUUACGGGGUGAUCUACCCACCAAAUUAAAGAUCUACGAGUCUAGUUUCCAACGCAUUAAACCAUUUGUCAAUACGAUCUUGGAGUAUAGAGAUAUUCAUAUUUUCGCAAGCCUAUGCAGAUUGGUAGAUGACAAGUAAGUGCAUCACCUACUUGCCAAAAUGAUAGGACAAAAUUAAAUGACCUAAGUCGGCCAAGAGAGGACUUUUAAGGGAUAAUGAACUCAGUUAUUUCAUCCAUAUUUCAGACCCUCAAAACCAAAGUUAACCCCUGCAACUCCUCCCCAAAAAUCCCAUACAAACCCUAAUCGAUUUUCCCUCUCUUUCAAAUUCUAUUUGAAGGUAAAACCUGGAGUUUGAAGAACCAAGGGAAGGGCUGAGUUAUCCAACAAGUAAGGUAAGUUACCGCCAUCUUUCAUCAUUUUUCUCUGUUGUGAAUUCAUGGUAAUUCGUUCUAUACAUGUAAGAACUCACGGGACGGUGAUCGGAAGCCGUGAGUUCGAGUUAUUCACUUGUAGCGGACUGUUUUGUGGAUUGUUUUGUGUUGCUAUUGGGUUGCGUGUUUUACUACAAUUUUGUGGAGUUUUGGAGGUAUAAGGGUGUGGAGGAACACCAUAUAUAUGUAGGGUUGUGGGAUGAUAGUGAUUCUUAACAUUUCCGGGUCGUUUGACACGACUACGGUGGUCGUCAUAUGUAUGAUGUAAUUAGGUUGUGCAUGGACUGUUUUGGGAGGCUCAAUAUGUUUAUUAUUGAUGUUGUUUGGGUUGUUUGGUGAUUUAUUGGAAUGGUGUGAAGUCAUAUAUAUAGGGGAGGUGCUGUCCGUUUCAACGUAAAAUAGGUUGUGGUCGAUACAUAAUAGUUAUGAUGCUUAAAUGAGAACGAUAGUAUCGUUUCUCUUAUUGUAGACUAAAGAGUUGUGACAAUUGCAUAGCUUGUGAUUGGGGCAGUAUAUACAAGGUAUGUAAGGCUAUCCCUUUUCUUCUUUUGCACGACUCUGAUUGUACAUAAUGUAAUGAACGAGCUUCCAAAGAUACUCUACUCUUAGAAGCUAGCAGUACUUACAUUGUUUUCCCUCUUAUGGAACGAUUGAUGUUAAUGUUGCUUCUCUUAUUCUUAUGUUAUCAAUGUUGUUGGUACUUCCUGAUUCUUAUAAGGUUCCUAAUGAAGAGUUGGUCCUAAUAACAUGUACAGAGGAUACCGACCUUACGUCACUCCGAAAGGUUUAGAAUGUGAUUCCAUGAGUCGAGCAUGCAUUAUAUAUAUGUAUCUAUUUUAAUCUACCGAGCUGCGCUAUAGUCGGCCGGGUACGACACAUAUUGUGCAACAACUGAUCAGUUGAUUUUUACCGAGCUCCACGUGGCCGGGUACGAUUCUACCGAGCCUUAUGACGACCGGGUACAUUUUGACCAAGCCUAUUAUGGCUGGGUACAAUAUGAUGAUGAUGAUUCCCAUAGAGGCGUAUGUUUUAAAAGUUUAUGUAUACAUACAUAUGUAUCAUGCAUUCCAUGUCAGUAGCCCUUAGAGGUACUCAGAUGUUCCAGGUUGUAUAUUCUCUAUCCCUGCUUACAUUACUGUUCAUAUUUAUGGUUCCCUGCCUUACAUACUCAGUACUUUAUUCGUACUGAUGUCCUUUUGUUUGUGGACACUACAUGUCGUGCUGCAGGCCCUAAUAGACAGGCAGGUGCAGCUCCUCCACCACAGUAGGUUGUCCAGUUCAGCAGUGAUUGGCGAGAUCCCUUCUCCGGACUUGCCGUGGUCUUGGUAUGCAUUUCUGUUAUAGACAUUAUGGGUAUGUCGGGGCCCUGUUCCGGCAAUGUUGCAGCACUUAUGUUCAUUUAGAGGCUCAUAGACAAGUAUCGACUCAUGUAUAGUUUGGUAUGCCUUCUUGGCUGGUUUUUUUUGUAUAGUC